RNAcentral lists this non-coding RNA (118 nucleotides) under Williamsia sp. RNAcentral's name for it is "TPP sequence". It matches the Rfam family "TPP riboswitch aptamer (THI element)". From Rfam's summary of the family: Vitamin B(1) in its active form thiamin pyrophosphate (TPP) is an essential coenzyme that is synthesised by coupling of pyrimidine and thiazole moieties in bacteria. The previously detected thiamin-regulatory element, thi box was extended, resulting in a new, highly conserved RNA secondary structure, the THI element, which is widely distributed in eubacteria and also occurs in some archaea. Lineage: Bacteria; Bacillati; Actinomycetota; Actinomycetes; Mycobacteriales; Nocardiaceae. The record is from RNAcentral. RNAcentral also lists the same sequence under 1 other name.
CAAUACACACACGGGUGCUCGAGGGAGACGUCGGGCUGAGAUCGGGACGCGAACCGUCCACGAGACCGUUACACCUGAUCCGGGUAAUGCCGGCGAAGGAAGGAGGUGCCGAUGAAGA